This 253-nucleotide ribosomal RNA is filed under the name uncultured bacterium. RNAcentral's name for it is "partial 16S ribosomal RNA". It matches the Rfam family "Bacterial small subunit ribosomal RNA", at positions 524 to 776 of the family's 1533-position model. The record is from RNAcentral.
UACGUAGGGUGCGAGCGUUAAUCGGAAUUACUGGGCGUAAAGCGUGCGCAGGCGGUUUUGUAGGCCAGAUGUGAAAUCCCCGGGCUUAACCUGGGAAUGGCAUUUGGGACUGCAAGGCUCGAGUGCGGCAGAGGAGACUGGAAUUCCUGGUGUAGCAGUGAAAUGCGUAGAUAUCAGGAGGAAUACCGAUGGCGAAGGCAGGUCUCUGGGCUGACACUGACGCUCAUGCACGAAAGCGUGGGGAGCAAACAGG